UGCUACAAGCUCCAAAAACGGUGCCGUUACAUGGCUGUGGUGGUCGAUUGACUUGCUCAUGUCCUGCCUCUUUCCCCUGUGAUCAAAAGUAACACAUGCUUGUGAUAAGAUCCCACAUUGGAAGUAAAAUGUCUAAAUAAAACUAAGUGACUAAAUUAUCUCACAUUGGAAAGGGGAAAGAAUAGUAAAUGGCUUCUAAGUUCACAAGCUGACGUUUAAGGUGAUUUUAGCCCAAACGUAAGGAAACACACGGAAUAGAGAAAUGCUCGGUUAUCUAUUCAUAUAUCCCGUAAAAAGAAAGAACCAAAACUAUUUCGUAAGUGACACGGACAAGCAGCAGCUUUGAGAUAACUACUAUAAACACUUGGCAACUGAGACAACGAAAUUGAGACUUACGGAGAAGGAAUGGAAUCUGAAUCAGAUUUAAGAUAGUAAAUCUUGAGUACCAGCUGGGAGAGGAUUCUUUAUGUCACAUUAUAUCCUGAUUAAGGCAAACACCACAGAAAGAAACAACUUUUAAUUAUGCAAGAAUCCAUCUCAAAAUCUCGUUUUACACACUCAGAACAAUUUUGUUAUAAAAUAACCUUAUCCCCACUUCAAUUUGUUGUUUAGUAUGCCAUCGCAAGCCACAGUAUAAAUUGGUAUAGAGGAAAAUCCACUAUUAGAUAAACCUAGAUGUCCUGUAAAAUUUGUCAUAUUCCCACAAUGUUGCAAAUUGAAGUAACUAAUGCACAC
RNAcentral lists this long non-coding RNA (735 nucleotides) under Arabidopsis lyrata. RNAcentral's name for it is "long non-coding RNA (ALYR_LNC000041)". The record is from RNAcentral. Lineage: Eukaryota; Viridiplantae; Streptophyta; Magnoliopsida; Brassicales; Brassicaceae.